GCAGCAGUCGCCCAGCGGAAGGGCAGGAGGCUCAUAACCUCCAGACUGCCGGGUUCUAUACUUCUGCCCGGCGGGGCGCGGGUUCAAAUCCCGCCUGCUGCA
This 102-nucleotide transfer RNA is filed under the name Caudoviricetes sp. RNAcentral describes it as "tRNA-Met". It matches the Rfam family "tRNA". Rfam says of the family: Transfer RNA (tRNA) molecules are approximately 80 nucleotides in length. Their secondary structure includes four short double-helical elements and three loops (D, anti-codon, and T loops). The record is from RNAcentral. Lineage: Duplodnaviria; Heunggongvirae; Uroviricota; Caudoviricetes.